Molecule: long non-coding RNA, 3735 nt
Filed under: Vigna radiata
Lineage: Eukaryota; Viridiplantae; Streptophyta; Magnoliopsida; Fabales; Fabaceae
Description: long non-coding RNA (VRAD_LNC001643)
Source: RNAcentral
UUUCUCUCUAGAAACCCUUUUUCCCUAAAUUCUCUCUGCCUUCUCUCUAGAUUUCCAGCUAAUUGAACCGUUCAAUCUUGGAUUUGAAGGUGCUCAAGCGUUCACCACACCGAAAGCUUUCUUUUGAUCCGAUUAUAUUUUCGAUUGGAUCAGUAAGUAAUUUUCUCCUCUUCUCCGCUGUUUCGCAACUUAGGGAAUGCCUUUUUCGGGUAGCAGACAACUAGGAGCGUUCUUCUUUUUAUUCUUGUUUAAAGCUUAGCUCUAAGAGCUUAUUCCUCCACUAUUUCGGUGAUAUAUAGGUACUGUAAAUUCCUGUGUUGCAUAAAGUUGUUGUGAGAGCGUCUCUUGUGAACUGUACUGUGAGAAACCAAGGUAAGGGGAGCUACUUAUACUUUUAUUUUAUUUGUUGCGAAGUGACUGUUUGAGAAAUCUGAAUUACNAUGUGAAUUUAAACUGUAUUUUGGUUCUACACAUCCCGUUUGGUAAGAACUGAUGAAUCUGUUUUGAGUGAUUAUGCAUGUUGAAUUAAAUAUGUGAUAUAUUGUGAGCAUGUGUUGUUACUGUCCUUAAGUGUUUAACUUAGUAUGCGCUGAAUUUGACUGAAAUGAUGAUCCUGGGAAUGAUUCCUGUUUAUAUAUUGAUUGUGAUAUGCUCCGAAGGAAUUUGAUGAAUCUGGUUGCUGGAAUAAGUCGGGGGUAAUACUGAUUUGAUGGGAAAAAUGGGUUGAGUGUAGCCUCAGGUUCUGUGAGAGGGGAUGUAUAACUUUGGGAAUCAGGGAACUAAAAAUAAUAGGCUAGUUAUAUAACCAGCAAGGAAAUUGGGUUGUGUUGGGUUGGGAAAAGAGGGAGCAUUGUAAGCUAUUUGGAUGGUGAUUUUGUGCAUUUGGGGUAAUAAGUGCAUUUGGUCUGUUCUGGCAGUUUAGACAAGUCAGUUGUGACUUGUUAAACAAAUAAAAUUGAACAAAAACACAUUAAAAAUGACAGAAUUGAGUUAGAGUCCAUAAGUCAUAGGAUGCGAUGUUUUGAAGUUAAAUUCAAGCCUAAACAACUCUAAAAGCACUAUAUUAACAUAAUACGAAACGUAUGAUACAUAUAUAUAUAUAUAUACAUAUAUAUAUAUAUAUAUAUAUAUAUAUUAAUAUAAUAUGGAAAUAUAAGUUAGGAAAGAAUGAUAUAUAUUAUAUUAAUAUAAUAGGGAUAUAUAUAAGAUGCAGGAAAGUCCUUAUGAUAUAAAUUGUUAUCAUAAUAUUUAUAUAUAAAAGAAAGUAUGAAAUAUGUUAUAUUAAUAUAUUACAUAUAAGAGAUGCAAGANAGUAAAUAUGAUAAUAAAUUAUAUUAAAAUAAUAUUGUUUCAUAGAAAAUUAGUAAUAAAGAUUAGGUAUGAUAUCAAAUUUUACCAGUUGGAAAUGUAUUAUUUUACAAGAAAUUUUAGAGUUUUNUAGAGUGAUUGAGAUAUGACAGUAUUGUAUAUUUGAGGUGAUUGGAAGUGGUUGUGGAACAUGUUCUAGUACAUAUGACUUUAUCUUUAAAGCUUAAACAUGUGGUUUAAUUGUAAAAAUCUCUCGGUGAGAUCCUUAGUGUUUUAAAAUGAAAGUAGGAGCUCAGUUUUGGGGGUCAUCCUGACGCUCCAAUGGCCAAUCAUGUCACUUAGAGAGAUCGGACCAUGUGGUGAGGAGUAGCAGGAGGUCUUUAGUCUUGGGGGCUUCCAGUAUGCCUCAAGGCCCGGAACGGACUAACCUCGUGAGUGUGGCAGGGUGGGGAACCCAAGUUUCAUAAAUCACCAUGAGUGCAAGACCCGCCAUAGCUCGACUUUCGUUUUAAAGUCCGGACAAGUCAAGUCUAGAAAUUAAAAUGCUUAGGUUGUGUUUCUGAAAUUGUUGGAUAUAAGUUAUUUCUUGUAUGUUACAUGCUUAAUCUGAUGCAUGAUUUUAUAUAAUUAGCUCACCCUUGCAAUUGUUUGCUUGCUUGUGUUGUGCCAUGUUGCGUGUGCUGCCCUGUUGCGAUGAUCAUCCAUUCUGGAUGUGAGCAGAGGAGAAUGAGGUGUCAGUGGGGGAUGUCUUGGAGGAAAAUGGAGAUGUUGCUGCCUAGUUCUUUAGGCUUUAAUUAUCUUAUCCUAGGAUAUUUUGAAGAUACUUUGUCAUGUUCUAAGUUUUAAAUUCUUUGUAAUUUAAAGGAGAAACUCUAGUACUCCAAGUUUCCAAAUUGUACUGUUUAAGGAUGACUGUAAUCCUAUUACUCUUAACUGCUUUCUAGUAUUAUUCAUACUGACGCCUUUAUUGUAUUAUAUAUUUUUAUAAUAUAAUUGGGAUGUCACAAAAAAUAAAUCUCAACAAUAUUAAACUAGAUAAUUCUAAGAUACAUAUUUUAUAAUUUGUUAUUUUCCUAAUAUUACUUUUUUUUUUUAAUCUUUUAUAUGGUUGCUAAAGUACUUAUAUAUCUAUAAUAUCAUUUCUUUUUUAUAUAAAGAUAAUUAUAAUAGUCAUCACACAAAAUAUAAAAACAAAAUAAAAAAAAUUUAAGUAUAAACUAACAUAAAUUAUAUAAAUCAAAAUUCACAAUUUUCACAAACACUAUAUGAAAUAAACCCGGUAUACAAUCACUAAACUUCAUUUUCACAACAAACAAUUACAUUAAAACAUUCAUUAUUAAAUCUAAGGACGAAAAGAUAAUAACACCUUUCAGAACGCUUGUAUUGAGUAAGUCACACUGGAGACUAAGACUCAACUUAUAUUAAAGUCUACUAUGACACAGUAGUUUAAUGUAAUAGAGGUAGUUUAUUAUAUUUUUUCAACAAGGCUUAAUAUCACAACCUCAUUUACAUUAUCACCACUUUUUAUCUUUAUAUGAUUUAGAUUAUCAGUGAGAGUCUAUAUCUCUUUUCACUUAUGGACUCACCACUCAAAACCAUAUAACAUAUAUAAGAAGAGUAUCAUUUCAAGUAGUUGUAAUUUUUUAUAUAUAUCAAUAACCAUAACAUUCAAUCAUACUUCGUCAUUAUAUACACAUUUUACCACAAAAAUAUUUAUUACAAAUGGAAAAAGUGAAAUAGUCGAUUAUUUAAAGUAAUAAUCGAUUAUCUUAAGUCCCAGUGUAAAAAAAAAAAAAAAGAAAAAAAAAAUUUUUCUUUUAAAAAAAAAUAAAAUUUUGGUUUGUUUUAUUAAAGGGGAUUAUUACAUUUAAAGAGGAAGAUAUAUGAGUCUGUUAGAUAUCCUGUUUUUAUCUCUAUUAUGGAUUAAUUACUCUUAUCUCCUUUGUUGUAAAAUUAAGAACAUCACAUUUCACAAAACCUUCAACUCUCUGAUUAUCCUCCAACCCCUCCUUUUUAAAGUCUAUUUGUAUUUCUUAAUUAGAGUUGAAUUUCUGUUUUUCUUAUAUUCCAUGAGGUAUUUUGUUCAUUCAUGUUAUAAAAUUUCAAUUUUAUUCCUGUUUUGAAAUGCAUCAAUUGUUUUGUUAAAGGCAAGAUCAUAGUGAGGGGGAGAUCAUAUUAAGGGGGAGCUUUUUAUAUUGAUCUUUUUGCUUAUGAUAAAAAAGGGGGAGAAGUAUAUUUUUAGGGGGAGAAAUAUAAUAUAAGUUGAUACAGGUAUUGCUAACUAUGUUGUUGUUUGUUAGCUUGUAUGUUUUUGCAAGAAAGCCAAAGUUGCUUUUAAAACUUGAACUUUUUAUCAUCAUCAAAAUGGGGGAGAUUGUUACCAAUGAGGAGCAUUGGUAAAUCUUGAAGUAAAUGGUUUUGAUGAUG